UUAGCUCUCUUUGCCUAUUGGCUUAGAUCAAGUGUAGUAUCUGUUCUUUUCAGUUUAAUCUCUGAAAGUUUCCUCUUGGAAACACUUUGAUUAUUCUCAUUUUUGGAUCCCGCAACUUGGCCUCUGUGCUUGCGCAUGCCUCGUUGCACUGUGUCAUCGGGCUUACACUACCCUCGAUCGACGCGAACCCUU
Molecule: non-coding RNA, 192 nt
Organism: Penicillium arizonense
Lineage: Eukaryota; Fungi; Ascomycota; Eurotiomycetes; Eurotiales; Aspergillaceae
Source: Rfam